UGCAAGUCGAGCGGUAAGGCCCUUCGGGGUACACGAGCGGCGAACGGCUGAGUAACGCGUGGGAAUCCACCCCAAAGUGAGGGAUAAGCACCGGAAACGGUGUCUAAUACCGCAUGUGGUCUUCGGAUUAAAGUAUUUAUACGCUCUGGGAGGAGCCCGCGUCCGAUUAGGUUGUUGGUGAGGUAAUGGCUCACCAAGCCUACGAUCGGUAACUGGUCUGAGAGGAUGAUCAGUCAGACUGGAACUGAGACACGGUCCAGACUCCUACGGGAGGCAGCAGUCAGGAAUAUUCCACAAUGGGGGCAACCCUGAUGGAGCAACGCCGCGUGCAGGAUGAAGGCCCUCGGGUCGUAAACUGCUUUUGUAUAUGAAGAAUAUGACGGUAAUAUACGAAUAAGGAUCGGCUAACUCCGUGCCAGCAGCCGCGGUCAUACGGAGGAUCCGAGCGUUAUCCGGAGUGACUGGGCGUAAAGAGUUGCGUAGGUGGACAAGUUAGCGAAUAGUGAAACCUGGUGGCUCAACCACACAGACUAUUAUUCGAACUGCUUGUCUUGAGAAUGGUAGAGGUAACUGGAACUUCUAGUGUAGGAGUGAAAUCCGUAGAUAUUAGAAGGAACACCAAUGGCGUAGGCAGGUUACUGGACCAUUUCUGACACUAAGGCACGAAAGCGUGGGGAGCGAACCGGAUUAGAUACCCGGGUAGUCCACGCCGUAAACGAUGGAUACUAGCUGUUGGAGGUAUCGACCCCUUCAGUAGCGAAGCUAACGCGUUAAGUAUCCCGCCUGUGGAGUACGGUCGCAAGACUAAAACAUAAAGGAAUUGACGGGGAGCCGCACAAGCGGUGGAGCAUGUUCUUUAAUUCGAUGCAAACCGAAGAACCUUACCAACACUUGACAUCCUUGGAAUUUUGCCGAAAGGCGAGAGUGCUUUAU
Molecule: ribosomal RNA, 933 nt
Filed under: uncultured bacterium
Lineage: Bacteria
Description: bacterial SSU rRNA
Rfam family: Bacterial small subunit ribosomal RNA
Source: RNAcentral